UGAAAUGGAAUUCCUGACACUAUGCAACUUUGGUCUAUGAAGGAAGUUAAAAAAAAUACUCCCAAUAAUGAGGAAACCACUGAUAUGCUGUUGUUUUACUGGCCAGGAGAAUUUUACGUGAGCGUUCUUUGUUAUCUGUAACAAAAUUUUCCUUUGUAGCAUUUUCUUACAACUGUGCUGGGCAGAAACUUGUAGAUUUUUCUUGCUGGUUUAUGAUAGUAUUGUUUCAUUAGCUAAACUGUACUGGACCAUCAUGGUGUAGAGUAAUAGAGUAUGUGGCAGUCUAUUGGAAGGAAACUAUAGCUGAAUGCUCCUGUAUUAUUUAUAGCAAACUUAUCUCCCAAUUGUAUCUAUCCAAAAAGGAGAAAGAGUUAUAUAUCCAGUGACAUUUUAUUUUGUC
This 400-nucleotide small RNA is filed under the name Oryza sativa Japonica Group (Japanese rice). Its description in RNAcentral is "sRNA Os06g0227300". Lineage: Eukaryota; Viridiplantae; Streptophyta; Magnoliopsida; Poales; Poaceae. The record is from RNAcentral.